AUGCGGCUCUGGCGGGGAGCGGGGCUGGCGGCACUGGCCGCAGUUCUGCUCGUGGCGGCAGGCAGAGCCCAAGUGAAGCAGGACCCGCUGUUAGAGACGACCGAGGGCAGUGAAAUCACCCUCAAGUGCUCAAACGCUAACAUAGGAAUCGGUGAUUUUAUCCAUUUCUACCGGCAGCUCCCGAGCCACAACACCGAACUCCCGGUACGCGCUUCUGAAGUGUCCAGAGAGCGGCGGGCUUCAGCGUGGCGGCUGACGGUGUCGGGAGAUCGUCGUUGGAUCGUCCUCUGGCUCUCCGGGCCCCGUCAUGGGGAGGCGGCGCUCUACCCCUGCGCCCUGGCGAUCACGGACUCAUUGACACCUUCGUCCUCGCAGGUUUUAGAGGUUUCCUGA
Non-coding RNA from Neopelma chrysocephalum (saffron-crested tyrant-manakin), 393 nucleotides. Lineage: Eukaryota; Metazoa; Chordata; Aves; Passeriformes; Pipridae. The record is from the annotation of a RefSeq genome assembly.